This 253-nucleotide ribosomal RNA is filed under the name uncultured bacterium. Its description in RNAcentral is "partial 16S ribosomal RNA". It matches the Rfam family "Bacterial small subunit ribosomal RNA", at positions 524 to 777 of the family's 1533-position model. The record is from RNAcentral.
UACGUAGGGGGCAAGCGUUGUCCGGAUUUAUUGGGCGUAAAGAGCGUGUAGGCGGCCAGAUAGGUCAGCUGUGAAACUCGAGGCUCAACCUCGAGACGUCGGUUGAAACCAUCUGGCUAGAGUCCGGAAGAGGAGAGUGGAAUUCCCGGUGUAGCGGUGGAAUGCGUAGAGAUCCGGAAGAACACCGGUGGCGAAGGCGGCCUGCUGGGCUAUGGCUGACACUGAGGCGCGACAGCGUGGGGAGCAAACAGGG